AACGAACCUGGCGGUACGCUCUAUGCAUGCAAGUCGACCGGGUCAUAGCAAUAUGAUCAGUGGCGAACGGGUGAGUAAUGCGUAGGAAUCUACCCUAGAGAGUGGGAUAAAAUACCACAUAAUCUCUUGUUAUUCUAUCUAUAUAUUAUUAUGUAUACGUAGUAAUCAAGUUUAGCUGAAGUUACGUAGUGAUUUGAUUUGUUGUGAUAGUAAUAUAUAGAUGGAAUCUAGAGCAAAGGCGCAAGUCGCUUUAGGAUGAGCCUACGUCGGAUUAGGUAGUUGGUGGGGUAAUAGCCUACCAAGCCAGUGAUCCGUAGUUGAUCUGAGAGGAUGAUCAGCCACAUAGGAAUUGAGAUACGGUCCUAACAUCACAAGAUGGCAGCAGCAGGGAAUAUUGGACAAUGGGGGAAACCCUGAUCCAGCGAUACCGCGUGAAUGAAGAAGGUAGAAAUAUUGUAAAGUUCUUUCACUCGUGAAGAUAAUGACGUUAACGAGAGAAGAAGCACCGGCUAACUCUGUGCCAGCAGCCGCGGUAAGACAGAGGGUGCUAGCGUUGUUCGGAAUGACUGGGCGUAAAGGGUGAGUAGGUGGUUUAUUAAGUAAGAUGUGAAAUCCCUGGGCUUAACUCAGGAACUGCAUUUUAUACUGAUAAACUAGAGUACGGUAGAGGAAGUAGGAAUUUCUAGUGGAGAGGUAAUAUUCAUAGAUAUUAGAAGGAACACCAAAGGCGAAGGCAAACUUCUGGGCCGGUACUGACACUGAGUCACUAAAGCGUGGGGAGCAAACAGG
This 789-nucleotide ribosomal RNA is filed under the name uncultured bacterium. Its description in RNAcentral is "bacterial SSU rRNA". It matches the Rfam family "Bacterial small subunit ribosomal RNA", at positions 28 to 776 of the family's 1533-position model. The record is from RNAcentral.